CAGGACAUUUCCUGAAACACCUGCACCUGCUCACAGUGCACCCGCUGCUCCAGCAGGAAUGGAUGUGAGCUUUGUCACUGCCCUGGCUGUGCUGGCGGCUGCAGUGAGCCUGGCAUCCCCAACUUUAUUUCCUGAGGCCUUUAACUGUUGCACAAAAAUUUCAGAAGAAAUUCCUAGAGGAAUUCUCCGAAGAGUGGAGAGAUUUGAAAUCCAGAAACAUGAUGGCCUGUGUCACCUACACGCUGUAAUUCUCCACAUAGAAGGCAGA
Molecule: non-coding RNA, 268 nt
Organism: Coturnix japonica (Japanese quail)
Lineage: Eukaryota; Metazoa; Chordata; Aves; Galliformes; Phasianidae
Source: RefSeq, a predicted model, not a curated record